This 232-nucleotide ribosomal RNA is filed under the name uncultured bacterium. RNAcentral describes it as "partial 16S ribosomal RNA". It matches the Rfam family "Bacterial small subunit ribosomal RNA", at positions 118 to 347 of the family's 1533-position model. The record is from RNAcentral.
UGAGCAAUCUGCCCUUCUCAUCGGAAUAAGCGUUGGAAACGACGUCUAAUGCCGAAUACGACCUCCUUUCGCAUGAUCGGAGGUGGAAAGCUCCGGCGGAGAAGGAUGAGCUCGCGGCCUAUCAGCUAGUUGGUGUGGGUAAUGGCCCACCAAGGCGACGACGGGUAGCCGGCCUGAGAGGGCGACCGGCCACACUGGGACUGAGAUACGGCCCAGACUCCUACGGGAGCAG